This 73-nucleotide transfer RNA is filed under the name Exostoma labiatum. Its description in RNAcentral is "tRNA-Asn". RNAcentral also lists the same sequence under 1 other name. The record is from RNAcentral. Lineage: Eukaryota; Metazoa; Chordata; Actinopteri; Siluriformes; Sisoridae.
UAGAUGAAUGCUCGCUGGUUUGAGUACCUAGCUGUUAACUAGGGGUUUGUAGGAUCGAGGCCUUCUCAUCUAG